UUCAUUGAACUUCAUUGAUGGUAUUCCAUCCUACUCUUUCGCAUUCGUACUGUCGCACUUGUGACGUAGAUGGCCUUAGACAAUAAAAUGAAACAAAAGAACAUGUGAUGUAGUUACCUACUUUAUUUAAUUUUCUAAAUUCUAACCUCUCCUUCAUAUUCAUCCGGGGUUAGGACCGGUAAAAUUACCUUUUUACAAUUAAUUAAAUACGUAUGUGAUUAGAAAACAAUAAACAAAUAUUACAAUAAAAUAAGGUAUUCUGUACUAAAAGAAAAGAGAAAUUUUGGCAUAUUUAUGAAGUUAGAAUCAGGUGAUAUUUACAAUAAUUAUUUACACAGGCACAGGACGGGCUGAUGUUAAACCGUCGAUCAGCGUCAUUUGUACUCCGCCGGGCAUCCUCUUCAAAAUACGCUAGUACAUCGUCGUACAGAUUUUGUGACAACGCCGGUCUUCCUUGUUCUUGACGUACGUAGGUGACCGUGCGUGGAAUGAACCGUGAUCAAGUAAACGCUGGUAAGCAUUUACCACGGUUCGCACAUUUGGCUGUCGAGCGUUUGGGUGUCUUCCCUGUACAUACGUACAGCUGCACUCGCGUUUUCUCCACUCAAAAAGUACGCACGAAGCAUAGCUACAUACUCCCGUGAUGUGAACUGAUAAGCCAUCGCGUCAGGGAAAACUUAAACAAACAACUGUUGCAACGAAAAAAAGCAUGCGCACACUUCCGAUAACAAUUUAGCACUGUUUUUUGUCGUUGUUGCGUCGGGGCGCGGCGCGGGCGCAGAGGGACAAGGGGUGGUUGGUGGGCUUCGACUUGAGUUUCCGGAAUUUAUCAAUGGAGCAGCGCCCCGUAGGUACCCAAACCCCGCCGCACGUACCUACUAUCGGGCAUUGAUUGAUUUUUUUUAAUAAUUAUUUAGCAUUUACCAGUUAUUACGUAUUUUUGUGGACAGUUUUGAGACUUCGUGUUUUUUAUUUUUUAACUACACAAAUAUGAUUAGUUAAAGAUACUUAGAGCCCAGUUAAAUUUUUUGUACUAAUUAAAAAAUAGGGGUGUAUAAGACUUCUGAGGGUGUCUAAAAGUGCAUGAAUUUGUAAUUAACUUAAUAAAUGAUCUUCUUUACAUUUAUAUUGAGGUAAAGUUUUAUUA
This is a long non-coding RNA of Bombyx mori (domestic silkworm), 1147 nucleotides long. RefSeq lists it as uncharacterized. The transcript is spliced from 2 exons. The record is from RefSeq and is a predicted model, not a curated record. NCBI's taxonomy places the organism in Eukaryota, Metazoa, Arthropoda, Insecta, Lepidoptera, Bombycidae.